GAUGAACGCUGGCGGCAGGCCUAACACAUGCAAGUCGAGCGGAUACAGCGGGCAUGCUCGCGUCUUCGGCGGCCGACGGGCGAGUGAUUCAUAAGCGUCUACCUAACCUGCGUGGAUCAGAUGCGUAACCGGGCGCUAAUCCCGCAUACGUCCUGAGGCAGAAACUGGGGGAUCUUCAGACCGAAUACUAUUUGCUGAGCCUAGGCCGGAUUAGCUAGCUGGUGGGGUAAGGGCCUACCAAGGCGACGAUCCGUGACUGGUCUGAGAGGAUGAUCAGUCACACUGGAACUGAGACACGGUCCAGACUCCUACGGGAGGCAGCAGUGGGGAAUAUUCGACAAUGGGCGAAAGCCUGACCCAGCCACGCCGCGUGUGUGAAGAAGGUCUUCGGAUUGUAAAGCUCUUUUAGUUGGGAGGAAGGACAGUGUGUGAAACCCUUCCUGUUUUGACGGUACCAAAUGAAUAAGCACCGGCUAACUUCGUG
RNAcentral lists this ribosomal RNA (484 nucleotides) under uncultured bacterium. RNAcentral describes it as "partial 16S ribosomal RNA". It matches the Rfam family "Bacterial small subunit ribosomal RNA", at positions 28 to 507 of the family's 1533-position model. The record is from RNAcentral.